Molecule: long non-coding RNA, 1627 nt
Organism: Anguilla rostrata (American eel)
Lineage: Eukaryota; Metazoa; Chordata; Actinopteri; Anguilliformes; Anguillidae
Exons: 5
Source: RefSeq, a predicted model, not a curated record
AUACGGCGAUAUUUCACUUCUAUACUAAUGAAAACAUUUGGAUGCAAAUCCCCCCUAUUGCUUUGUACGUAGUGGAUCCUCCUGUCAACCCCUCCUGAAAUCCCCGCUUGGUACCGUCCGCACUCCGUUUGCCAUUUUCAAGCGGAUUCAAGUGCAUUGGACCCUCCUACAUGGUAUUCUGUCCAAUCAGGUCACCGUGCCUUGUGACAACACGCUGCUGAAGACACAGAAGCUGCCUUGAUGAGAUUCAUCGUUUGCCUGAGGGGAUGACAAUAGCAAAUGUAUACCUGCUGAAAAGGAGCUGGUGCUGUCCUCGGGUCCUUCGGGAGGAAAGAUGACCCGGGCCGACCGUGACGAAACCUGCCAACUGAAGCGAUCAAACAUGAUACGUGGGAAAGGGGCCUUGGGCGGUGGAGAGCAUUCGCCUGAGCUGGCAUUGCUGGAGGCAAGCAAUUCGGUGCCACACAAGGGAAUGGUUUGAAAGGAACGGGUGCCAAGGCCUGACUCCCCCAACAACACCGCGAGGCACGCACUGCCACGUCAGAGGGGCUGAGGGAGCAGAGAGCUGACUGUGCAACCCACCACCAGGCCGACUGCUUUUCAACCGCUCCUCAGGUUCCACCCGUACGAGAGAAGAUUCAUUAGGGUACGACCUUUCAGAGUGAGCCGAGAGCAACUGCAGUCCGUGGCCUUUCCUCCCUCGUCCCCCCUGCCCCUCCAAAAAAAAAAAAGGAGAAACGAAUACCGGAUUAUUUGUAAUACAUUAGCCGACAUCCCAACAUUAUGUUACAGUCCAUUAGUGGUUAACAAUGAUAGCUGAUUUUCAAAUGGCAUUUCACAGGCCAUUACUGUAACUCAUUCCAGCCUUGCUUUCCUCCCCAAUGGCAGCAGUUUCCGGCUGUAAUACAUAAUCAAUAAUGCAAAAAAAAAAAAAAAAACCCUUAAAGUCCUUCCUUGUGGUUUUGUUUCAUGUGCUUUUAAAUAUAAUGACGCAGGUUAAUUAGCUUGUCAUCAUAUGGGAUUUUAGGGGGAUUCUAAAGAUGUUACAAUAGGUUUUGUCACACAAGGAGGACACAGUUUCUGUACACCUGACUCAACUGCAGUUUCAUUUCUAAACAGCGAGGUGGCUUUCAAAGAAGGAACCUCGCUGUCAAGGAAACAGACGACAAAAUAACUUCUUGCCUCCAGUAAUGCGGUUGAGUGUUUAGUACUUUCCCCAGCCCUUAUGUUUGACCCAAUGUAGCCUUUAACCUCUGAAGUGCUUUCGAUUUGCUCCGGAGAGACUGAACCCCUUUAAGGUCUGACAAACGUGUUCAUCGGUGUAAAACUGCAAUGCUAUGUUUCCAAACUGUCACUGUACUGAGCAAUGCAGCACACAUUGCUUUAGACUAAUACAAAUGCACUGAACUAUUUUGCUGGUUAAUACUGGUUAUACUACUGCUGGCAUAAAUAAUGAAAACAGAGAACUGAGAUGAACAUGUCAGCUGAUUAUAGCAAUGAAUUAUGCUGAAUUAUGAAUUAGUCAUAUAAACACAAUCUAUAGCUCUACUUUACUGUGACUCUGCUUAAAUGGUGGGAAGAGGACCAAUGAAAUUACGAUCAAAUUAAAACAUUUGACUGAUAAAAA